RNAcentral lists this ribosomal RNA (387 nucleotides) under Hygrocybe sp. 203-60. RNAcentral's name for it is "eukaryotic LSU rRNA". The stretch from base 1 to 105 matches the Rfam family "5.8S ribosomal RNA", at positions 50 to 154 of the family's 154-position model. The record is from RNAcentral. Lineage: Eukaryota; Fungi; Basidiomycota; Agaricomycetes; Agaricales; Hygrophoraceae.
GAAAUGCGAUACGUAAUGUGAAUUGCAGAAUUCCGUGAAUCAUCGAAUCUUUGAACGCACCUUGCACCCCUUGGUAUUCCGAGGGGCAUGCCUGUUUGAGUGUCAUUGAAUUCUCAACUUGGUCCGAGUUUGCUCUCGGAGCUCAAGCUUGGAUUUGGAGUGUGCUGGUCCCUUGCGGGGGGUCGGCUCCUCUGAAAAGCAUUAGCGACGAAAUCCUUUUCAAGGGUUGGCCCCAAAUGCGCUGUGGCAUUGAUAACAAUUGUCUAUGUCUCACUGCGGGGGGAGGAUGACCCAAGGGCGUUCUCGCUUACAAUGGUCCUCGUCGUGGGGACAAAGGCUCACCUUGACAAUUACCUCAAAUCAGGUAGGACUACCCGCUGAACUUAA